UACGGAGGGUCCAAGCGUUAUCCGGAAUCAUUGGGUUUAAAGGAUCCGUAGGCGGUUUUGUAAGUCAGUGGUGAAAGCCCAUCGCUCAACGGUGGAACGGCCAUUGAUACUGCAAGACUUGAAUUAUUAGGAAGUAACUAGAAUAUGUAGUGUAGCGGUGAAAUGCUUAGAGAUUACAUGGAAUACCAAUUGCGAAGGCAGGUUACUACUAAUGGAUUGACGCUGAUGGACGAAAGCAUGGGGAGCGAACAGG
This 253-nucleotide ribosomal RNA is filed under the name uncultured bacterium. RNAcentral describes it as "partial 16S ribosomal RNA". It matches the Rfam family "Bacterial small subunit ribosomal RNA", at positions 524 to 776 of the family's 1533-position model. The record is from RNAcentral.